Molecule: ribosomal RNA, 504 nt
Filed under: uncultured bacterium
Lineage: Bacteria
Description: partial 16S ribosomal RNA
Rfam family: Bacterial small subunit ribosomal RNA
Source: RNAcentral
AUUGAACGCUGGCGGCAGGCCUAACACAUGCAAGUCGAGCGGUAACACAGGGAGCUUGCUCCCGGGUGACGAGCGGCGGACGGGUGAGUAAUGUCUGGGAAACUGCCUGAUGGAGGGGGAUAACUACUGGAAACGGUAGCUAAUACCGCAUAACGUCGCAAGACCAAAGAGGGGGACCUUCGGGCCUCUUGCCAUCAGAUGUGCCCAGAUGGGAUUAGCUAGUAGGUGGGGUAAUGGCUCACCUAGGCGCCGAUCCCUAGCUGGUCUGGGAGGAUGACCAGCCACCCUGGAACUGAGACACGGUCCAGACUCCUACGGGAGGCAGCAGUGGGGAAUAUUGCACAAUGGGCGCAAGCCUGAUGCAGCCAUGCCGCGUGUAUGAAGAAGGCCUUCGGGUUGUAAAGUACUUUCAGCGGGGAGGAAGGUGCUGAGGUUAAUAACCUCAGCAAUUGACGUUACCCGCAGAAGAAGCACCGGCUAACUCCGUGCCAGCCGCCGCGGUAA